GGGGCUGUAGCUCAGUGGUAAAGCACUUGCUUCGCAUGUUUGAGGCCCUGGGUUUGAUCCUCAGCCACCUCG
Molecule: transfer RNA, 72 nt
Filed under: Ictidomys tridecemlineatus (thirteen-lined ground squirrel)
Lineage: Eukaryota; Metazoa; Chordata; Mammalia; Rodentia; Sciuridae
Description: Spermophilus tridecemlineatus (thirteen-lined ground squirrel) tRNA
Rfam family: tRNA
About the family: Transfer RNA (tRNA) molecules are approximately 80 nucleotides in length. Their secondary structure includes four short double-helical elements and three loops (D, anti-codon, and T loops).
Source: Rfam by way of RNAcentral